This 486-nucleotide ribosomal RNA is filed under the name uncultured bacterium. RNAcentral's name for it is "bacterial SSU rRNA". It matches the Rfam family "Bacterial small subunit ribosomal RNA", at positions 30 to 513 of the family's 1533-position model. The record is from RNAcentral.
AUUGAACGCUGGCGGCAGGCUUAACACAUGCAAGUCGAACGAUGACUCUCUAGCUUGCUAGAGAUGAUUAGUGGCGGACGGGUGAGUAACAUUUAGGAAUCUGCCUAGUAGUGGGGGAUAGCUCGGGGAAACUCGAAUUAAUACCGCAUACGACCUACGGGUGAAAGGGGGCGCAAGCUCUUGCUAUUAGAUGAGCCUAAAUCAGAUUAGCUAGUUGGUGGGGUAAAGGCCCACCAAGGCGACGAUCUGUAACUGGUCUGAGAGGAUGAUCAGUCACACCGGAACUGAGACACGGUCCGGACUCCUACGGGAGGCAGCAGUGGGGAAUAUUGGACAAUGGGGGCAACCCUGAUCCAGCCAUGCCGCGUGUGUGAAGAAGGCCUUUUGGUUGUAAAGCACUUUAAGCAGGGAGGAGAGGCUAAUGGUUAAUACCCAUUAGAUUAGACGUUACCUGCAGAAUAAGCACCGGCUAACUCUGUGCCAGCA